RNAcentral lists this ribosomal RNA (434 nucleotides) under uncultured Anaerostipes sp. RNAcentral's name for it is "bacterial SSU rRNA". It matches the Rfam family "Bacterial small subunit ribosomal RNA", at positions 341 to 792 of the family's 1533-position model. The record is from RNAcentral. Lineage: Bacteria; Bacillati; Bacillota; Clostridia; Lachnospirales; Lachnospiraceae.
ACGGAAGGCAGCAGUGGGGAAUAUUGCACAAUGGGGGAAACCCUGAUGCAGCGACGCCGCGUGAGUGAAGAAGUAUUUCGGUAUGUAAAGCUCUAUCAGCAGGGAAGAAAAUGACGGUACCUGACUAAGAAGCACCGGCUAAAUACGUGCCAGCAGCCGCGGUAAUACGUAUGGUGCAAGCGUUAUCCGGAUUUACUGGGUGUAAAGGGUGCGUAGGUGGUAUGGCAAGUCAGAAGUGAAAACCCAGGGCUUAACUCUGGGACUGCUUUUGAAACUGUCAGACUGGAGUGCAGGAGAGGUAAGCGGAAUUCCUAGUGUAGCGGUGAAAUGCGUAGAUAUUAGGAGGAACAUCAGUGGCGAAGGCGGCUUACUGGACUGAAACUGACACUGAGGCACGAAAGCGUGGGGAGCAAACAGGAUUAGAUACCCUGGUA